AACGUAGGAGACAAACGUUAUCCGGAGUUACUGGGCGUAAAGGGCGUGUAGGUGGCUUCGUAAGUCUGGCGUGAAAUUUUUCGGCUUAACCGGGAAAGGUCGUCGGAUACUGCGGAACUAGAGGACGGUAGAGGCGUGUGGAGUUCCGGGUGUAGUGGUGAAAUGCGUAGAGAUCCGGAGGAACACCAGUGGCGAAGGCGACACGCUGGGCCGUACCUGACACUGAUGCGCGACAGCAUGGGGAGCAAACAGG
RNAcentral lists this ribosomal RNA (253 nucleotides) under uncultured bacterium. RNAcentral's name for it is "partial 16S ribosomal RNA". It matches the Rfam family "Bacterial small subunit ribosomal RNA", at positions 524 to 776 of the family's 1533-position model. The record is from RNAcentral.